RNAcentral lists this long non-coding RNA (289 nucleotides) under Mytilus galloprovincialis (Mediterranean mussel). Lineage: Eukaryota; Metazoa; Mollusca; Bivalvia; Mytilida; Mytilidae. The record is from RNAcentral.
GAAAUACAAAAUAUCUGCAUAAGGUGGUUUUAAUAUGUAAAUGCAAACUUAAUGAUUUAACACUAGUAAUUUUGGGGCCCUUUAAAGCUUGUUGUUCGGUGUGAGCCAAGGCUCCGUGUUGAAGGCCGUACAUUGACCUAUAAUGGUUUACUUUUUUAAAUUGUUAUUUGGAUGGAGAGUUGUCUCAUUGGCACUCACACCACAUCUUCCUAUAUCUAUGAAGUCAUUAUGCAAUGCUUGUGAAACUCUGCAGGGUUGUUCAACCGAUGAGUAGCGAGUCAUAUUUUAC